UACGAAGGGGGCUAGCGUUGCUCGGAAUCACUGGGCGUAAAGCGCACGUAGGCGGACUCUUAAGUCGGUGGUGAAAUCCUGGAGCUCAACUCCAGAACUGCCUUCGAAACUGGGAAUCUUGAGUCCGGGAGAGGUGAGUGGAACUGCGAGUGUAGAGGUGAAAUUCGUAGAUAUUCGCAAGAACACCAGUGGCGAAGGCGGCUCACUGGCCCGGUACUGACGCUGAGGUGCGAAAGCGUGGGGAGCAAACAGGG
Molecule: ribosomal RNA, 254 nt
Filed under: uncultured bacterium
Lineage: Bacteria
Description: partial 16S ribosomal RNA
Rfam family: Bacterial small subunit ribosomal RNA
Source: RNAcentral